AGGUCGUAGCACAGACGAAGUAUAGAAAAGACAUGACAUCCAAUGCAUUUUUGUGUCACAUGGUCAUAGAUCGCUACAAGCGUACUCUAUGCACAACAGGGAACUGGAGAACUACAUCAAAUAAAACGGUCGAAGUUAGUCAAGUAGUGAAUGCGCCACAAACAUGAUUUUUGAAACCUAGUACCACAGACGAGGUACUUUUUCAGACGUGCCAAUUGUUUCUUGACGAAUAGAACAAUAUUAGACAUGACAAAAUCCUCUUGUACUUCAACAAUUCUGCUUUGAAUAAGAAAUCUGAAAUCUAUCCCUUUAAAUAUAUUGUUAGAAAUUCGUCAUGCUAUGAAUCUAAUGUAAGAUUCAGUCAAUCAAAAAAAGAUAUAUAAACGCGACGAAAACAGCUCACGCACAAUAUUUUUAUAU
Long non-coding RNA from Frieseomelitta varia, 420 nucleotides. RefSeq lists it as uncharacterized. The record is from RefSeq and is a predicted model, not a curated record. Lineage: Eukaryota; Metazoa; Arthropoda; Insecta; Hymenoptera; Apidae. The transcript has 3 exons.